Molecule: ribosomal RNA, 484 nt
Filed under: uncultured bacterium
Lineage: Bacteria
Description: partial 16S ribosomal RNA
Rfam family: Bacterial small subunit ribosomal RNA
Source: RNAcentral
AUUGAACGCUGGCGGCAUGCUUUACACAUGCAAGUCGAACGGCAGCGCGGGCUUCGGCCUGGCGGCGAGUGGCGAACGGGUGAGUAAUACAUCGGAACGUGCCCAGUAGUGGGGGAUAGCUCGGCGAAAGCCGGAUUAAUACCGCAUACGACCUGAGGGUGAAAGCGGGGGAUCUUCGGAACUCGCGCUAUUGGAGCGGCCGAUGGCAGAUUAGCUAGGUGGUGGGGUAAAGGCCUACCAAGGCGACGAUCUGUAGCUGGUCUGAGAGGACGACCAGCCACACUGGGACUGAGACACGGCCCAGACUCCUACGGGAGGCAGCAGUGGGGAAUUUUGGACAAUGGGCGAAAGCCUGAUCCAGCAAUGCCGCGUGUGUGAUGAAGGCCUUCGGGUUGUAAAGCACUUUUGGCGGGAACGAAAAGGACUGUGCCAAUACCACGGUUCGAUGACGGUACCCGCAGAAUAAGCACCGGCUAACUACGUG